GACGAACGCUGGCGGCGUGCUUAACACAUGCAAGUCGAACGGAAAGGCCCUGCUUUUGUGGGGUGCUCGAGUGGCGAACGGGUGAGUAACACGUGAGUAACCUGCCCUUGACUUUGGGAUAACUUCAGGAAACUGGGGCUAAUACCGGAUAGGAGCUCCUGCUGCAUGGUGGGGGUUGGAAAGUUUCGGCGGUUGGGGAUGGACUCGCGGCUUAUCAGCUUGUUGGUGGGGUAGUGGCUUACCAAGGCUUUGACGGGUAGCCGGCCUGAGAGGGUGACCGGCCACAUUGGGACUGAGAUACGGCCCAGACUCCUACGGGAGGCAGCAGUGGGGAAUAUUGCACAAUGGGCGGAAGCCUGAUGCAGCAACGCCGCGUGCGGGAUGACGGCCUUCGGGUUGUAAACCGCUUUCGCCUGUGACGAAGCGUGAGUGACGGUAAUGGGUAAAGAAGCACCGGCUAACUACGUGCCAGCAGCCGCGGUGAUACGUAGGGUGCGAGCGUUGUCCGGAUUUAUUGGGCGUAAAGGGCUCGUAGGUGGUUGAUCGCGUCGGAAGUGUAAUCUUGGGGCUUAACCCUGAGCGUGCUUUCGAUACGGGUUGACUUGAGGAAGGUAGGGGAGAAUGGAAUUCCUGGUGGAGCGGUGGAAUGCGCAGAUAUCAGGAGGAACACCAGUGGCGAAGGCGGUUCUCUGGGCCUUUCCUGACGCUGAGGAGCGAAAGCGUGGGGAGCGAACAGGCUUAGAUACCCUGGUAGUCCACGCUGUAAACGGUGGGUACUAGGUGUGGGGUCCAUUCCACGGGUUCCGUGCCGUAGCUAACGCUUUAAGUACCCCGCCUGGGGAGUACGGCCGCAAGGCUAAAACUCAAAGGAAUUGACGGGGCCCCGCACAAGCGGCGGAGCAUGCGGAUUAAUUCGAUGCAACGCGUAGAACCUUACCUGGGUUUGACAUGGAUCGGGAGUGCUCAGAGAUGGGUGUGCCUCUUUUGGGGUCGGUUCACAGGUGGUGCAUGGCUGUCGUCAGCUCGUGUCGUGAGAUGUUGGGUUAAGUCCCGCAACGAGCGCAACCCUUGUUCACUGUUGCCAACACGUUAUGGUGGGGACUCAGUGGAGACCGCCGGGGUCAACUCGGAGGAAGGUGGGGAUGACGUCAAGUCAUCAUGCCCCUUAUGUCCAGGGCUUCACGCAUGCUACAAUGGCUGGUACAGAGAGUGGCGAGCCUGUGAGGGUGAGCGAAUCUCGGAAAGCCGGUCUCAGUUCGGAUUGGGGUCUGCAACUCGACCUCAUGAAGUCGGAGUCGCUAGUAAUCGCAGAUCAGCAACGCUGCGGUGAAUACGUUCCCGGG
RNAcentral lists this ribosomal RNA (1343 nucleotides) under uncultured bacterium. Its description in RNAcentral is "16S ribosomal RNA". It matches the Rfam family "Bacterial small subunit ribosomal RNA", at positions 28 to 1378 of the family's 1533-position model. The record is from RNAcentral.